Molecule: long non-coding RNA, 2299 nt
Organism: Triticum aestivum (bread wheat)
Lineage: Eukaryota; Viridiplantae; Streptophyta; Magnoliopsida; Poales; Poaceae
Exons: 3
Source: RefSeq, a predicted model, not a curated record
UCCGGGGCGUGGGCAUCUCAAAGACCUCGGUCGCCAUCCAUAUCAGGCCCCUACCCCUGCCUUGCUUCAUCCUCGUGUUCUCUUCCCGGCGCGCCCUUCCCCUGUCUCCUCUUCGCCGGGGUUAUCAGCGACGGCUUUUGGGGACGCACACGGAAGCCGCGGCGGAUCAAGAAGGAGCUCGCCCCCAUGCGGACGGCGGGGCGCCGACGGCCUGAUGAUGGGCAGGCCGAGUGUGAAUGCGUCCGGUGGCCGGCUGUGGGGGUUGUGACUGCACUUGGCCGUAGGAGAUCAGGUGUCCAACCAUUAAUUUUUCGUGAGGAGACGUACCUAAUUUCAGGACUACAUGUCAGUUAUUCAGUUUGUGGCAGGAGCAUAAAAGGGGAUAAGAUCACCUCAGAGUGCCCUCUAACACGAAGAUCCCAACGUAUAGGAGGGCCUAUCCAACCAGGAGGAGGUGGCCGCAGAAUCAGCACCGGCGACAAUCAUGGUGAAUGUGAUGUGCUUGGCGUGGUGGCGGUCCCCGGAAAAGUGGAGGGCCGCCGCCGUGGUGCUAGACUUGGAGCAUGCAUGUGUCGGUUAAAAUGUGGCAGCAACCUGGUUAUCUUACACGAUAUUUGAAAGUGUUUUCCAUGACCCAACAUUUUUGGUGAGUUCAGUUUUACUAAUUUAUUCUAUGUAACUUCUCUGUUCUUAUCAAGUUGGAGUUGAGGAAGUAAGCUUCUGGGACAGGGUACCAUGCAUGAAUGCCCAAACUGUCAGUACUUAUCUUGCAUCAUCAUGUUAAUUAAUCUCACUGAGCUUUAAUAUUCCUUUUAUCAUAUGUAUUAUCUUGGUGCAAGCAGGUGCAAAAUGACUAAUGUAAGGCAACCGUGACAUGAUUUGCGCUGUAAGAUUGAUGGACCAGCUAUUUUGAGCAAACGUCGGAGAAAGGCAUCCAAAUUCAUGGAUACUUAGUCCUUCGACCAAUGUUCCAAAUGAUCAUGUCAGUUUGCGGGUUUCAAAAGAGGAAGAUCAUGAAAAUUGGCAUUAUUUGUGCUGCUUCUUUUUCUGAAUUAUCCGCAUCACAAUCACUUGAGUGUACUGUUUUUGCAGUUUUCAAACCAUCCAUUAUUGACACCUACAGGAAUCAAUAUUAAUGUUUUUUAUUUUAAAAGUGAAUUUUACAAUAAAUGAACAAAGGAGCAAGGGACCAUAUAGGCUGGCUUCCACGGUUCUAUUAGGAGCACUGCAUUGUUACUUCUGGUUAUCUAGACAAAUUGAUGCAAGUUUGUAUCGACAUGGUAUAUUACCACGGUACCACCCAAGUUUUGGUUGUGUAUUGUAGUUUAUUUGUUGGCACAAGUACACAAGCUGAAUUUCAUGAUGCAUACUUGCAAUCUUGCUCGGUUGUUGUGAGGAACUUUCGUCUAUUUAUGUUUUCACUAUAGAUUUAGAAUUUUCAUCUACAUCCUAUUCUUUCUAAUGGAAGGUGGAUUUUCAUUACAUUUUUACGUUUGUGGUUUAGGUAGGACAGGUGAGCUGAAAAUAGUUUCACAAGUACACUAUAUGUGCCUUUACAUUUUUUCCAUUCUACUUAAGGUAUGUGGUUUUUUAAGCGUCUCAAAUUUUAGUUUGGUUUGAUUUAAUGAUUUAUCACUGUCUGAAACACUAGAGUUGUACUACUUGCAGGGGAAUUCCAGACAGAGUUCAUCCAUUCAGUGAAGGCAUAUGUUCAAAACAUCUGUGGCUUCAGAUUCAUUUGAAACUCUAUUAGGUGAGUGUUGACACUUCCGAAUAAUGUUCAUUCUAGCUAUGAUUGUUUAUGUCAGUAUACAGUUUGCUCUCACCUUUUCCCCAAAGUGCAUGGGUAAGGCAGGCGGCCGCUGCAGCUCGAGCCAUGGCCAUGGCCGGUGCAUGACAGUAAUGAUCAAAUGGUUUGUUGCCUACCUUACGCCGAGGAGGGGUUGCUUCUGUCGUCCUCACCGUCCGUGUCCAGCACCUUGUCCUUGCUCCCUCCAUGGACAAGGUUGUGUCCUGCCCCGACACGCCCAAAUCUGAAGAGGAGAGGAGGAACAAACAGGGCGUCAGUCAGUCAGCCUCUUCGAUUCACGCAUGGGACUCGGCGGAAAUGCCAGUGCCGAGGAGGGAUUCAUCACCUAAUUGGCGCUUCGAGCCGUCGGUGCCCACCGGCGAGGCAAUCUGGUUCUCGGAGGGGCCGACUGCGCACGCACACAUUGGGAUUGGUCAGGAGCGUGGGCGAGAAGGGGAGGUAGGAGGAGGUGAAUGCAGAUGCACGUAGGGAGAGGUGCUUACUGAGCGG